This 109-nucleotide ribosomal RNA is filed under the name Escherichia coli ABU 83972. Lineage: Bacteria; Pseudomonadati; Pseudomonadota; Gammaproteobacteria; Enterobacterales; Enterobacteriaceae. RNAcentral also lists the same sequence under 1 other name. The record is from RNAcentral.
GGCGGCAGUAGCGCGGUGGUCCCACCUGACCCCAUGCCGAACUCAGAAGUGAAACGCCGUAGCGCCGAUGGUAGUGUGGGGUCUCCCCAUGCGAGAGUAGGGAACUGCC